RNAcentral lists this unclassified non-coding RNA (332 nucleotides) under soil metagenome. RNAcentral's name for it is "partial contains 5.8S ribosomal RNA, internal transcribed spacer 2, and large subunit ribosomal RNA". The stretch from base 1 to 120 matches the Rfam family "5.8S ribosomal RNA", at positions 35 to 154 of the family's 154-position model. The record is from RNAcentral.
GAUGAAGAACGUAGCGAAAUGCGAUACGUAAUGUGAAUUGCAGAUUUCAGUGAAUCAUCGAAUCUUUGAACGCACAUUGCGCCCGCUAGUAUUCUGGCGGGCAUGCCUGUUCGAGCGUCAUUUCAACCAUCAAGCCCUAGGCUUGCGUUGGAGCCCUGCGGCUGCCGCAGGCUCCCAAAUCCAGUGGCGGGCUCGUCGUCGUACCGAGUGCAGUAAACAUCCUCGCUCAGGGAACGUGACGGGUUCUUGCCGUGAAACCCCCCACAUAUCAAGGUUGACCUCGGACCAGGUAGGAAUACCCGCUGAACUUAAGCAUAUCAAUAAGCGGAGGA